UCUGCCGCGAUGCCUCCGCCUCGCCCCCGUCCAACUUCUGUCGCGCGGCCGCCGUCUGGCCCUGCCCCCCGUCCACCUUCUACUGCGCCGCCACCGCCCAAAAUCCCGGCCAUCCCGCGCUGCGCACCGCCGACACCUUCCUUCCUAAUUUGCCCCGCCACCGGCCUGGGCUCGCUUCGCACCUGCCCUGCAUCUCCGGUGCCUUCGCCGCAGGUGGAUUCCACCCCCUUACCCGGAUCCGCCACCCAUCCACGAUCCGGAUCGAGCCUCUGCCACGGGUGAACCCCAUCCUCCUCCCAUGGGUGAACCCCAUCGAGGUGGCCUCCAAGGCCCUGGCCCUGGCCCCUAGCCGUCCUCCCGCAGCUGCCCGGCGUUAGAUCUGUGUGUCACCGUCCCGGGGGCGUCCUCUCCGUCCCGGGUCACCGGCGACUCUUCCCUCUCCUCCCCGUUCUUCCACCUCCUCCCUUCCAUCCCUGGCCACUACAGAGCGUCCCGGGUCAACAGCCACCGCGUUGCCAUUCGCCUGCCUAGCCUCUCUCUGGCUCUCCACCGUCAACGGGUGGGCGACAAAAAAAUUGCAGGCGCGCAGGCUGCAUCUGACGGCCGUCGAUGGUCACAUGUCGGACGAGCCCAACCGUGCAAUACGCCAGAACAGGUUGUGCAGUACUUUUUGAAAAUUUCUGUAGUUUAUUUGUUAUAGAUGCGCGAUUCACUUCUUCAGCCACCUCUUUCUUGCUGUUCACUUGUCAGGAUAGAGAAGUACGAUGGUGUGAACUACUUCGAUGGGAGCAGCAGGGGAGUCGAGUUGGCUUGAUCGAAGAUGAGGUUCGGCUGGUUUGUGUAUGCUGGUCAGGGUCUCUUGUACAUGCAGCUCACAGCGUGAUGUUCGUUCAGUUCAUUGGCAAGCGGUUCUGUAUCACGGGCGCGCAGCUCACCAUCGUCAGGCUCGCAGCUUCAUUUGUUGCUGGCAGGGUCGACGCAACUGGACCCAGGACAUACGGCUUUGAUUUAUUUUUCAUUUUGUUUUGAGUGGGUUUUAUGUAAAUUUAUAGGGAUGUGUUUGGUAAGUUUUAAAAACUACUAUUCGAGUUCUCCUUUGUUGCUCGGGAAAAAAAGAACUUUACUUUCAGGGUACGCACGGUGGCAGAGAACUUUGGUUUGCAGCUCACUUCGGUUUCCCCUAGCAGCUCA
Triticum dicoccoides is the source of this 1191-nucleotide long non-coding RNA. RefSeq lists it as uncharacterized. The record is from RefSeq and is a predicted model, not a curated record. Lineage: Eukaryota; Viridiplantae; Streptophyta; Magnoliopsida; Poales; Poaceae. The transcript has 2 exons.